RNAcentral lists this long non-coding RNA (492 nucleotides) under Mytilus galloprovincialis (Mediterranean mussel). The record is from RNAcentral. Lineage: Eukaryota; Metazoa; Mollusca; Bivalvia; Mytilida; Mytilidae.
GAAUACUACCCAUGACAAAAAUUCUGAUUUCAAAUCAUGCACUGAUGAUAAAUUUUUGAAUAAUUGCAACAAAAAUUUAAAUGUUAGGAUAACUGCAGAGGAAGUGCUUCUUGCUCUGAAAGCCUUGAAAAAUAAGAAAUCAUGUGGUUCUGAUGGAUUAACAAAUGAAAUGUUGAAAAUAUCUUGUACUAUGAAUGUCAACAUGUAUGUAAAAUUAUUUAACUUAAUUCUUUUUACUGGCAUAUAUCCUUCUAAAUGGAGAGAAAAUUGCAUUAAACCAGUAUUCAAAGGAGGGUGUUUUAAUAACCCCUCAAACUACAGAGGUAUAGCACUUUCUAGCUGCUUAGGAAAAUUUUUCUCAAGAGUUUUAUAUAACCGUUUAGAAAAGUAUUCAGAAAAUAAUAAUAUUAUCUGUCGUGAACAGAUUGGAUUCAAAAAAGGAUGCAGAACUAGUGAUCACAUUCUUACUUUAAAAACUAUUAUUGAUAAGGC